This 1707-nucleotide ribosomal RNA is filed under the name Meloidogyne enterolobii. RNAcentral describes it as "SSU rRNA". It matches the Rfam family "Eukaryotic small subunit ribosomal RNA". Lineage: Eukaryota; Metazoa; Nematoda; Chromadorea; Rhabditida; Meloidogynidae. The record is from RNAcentral.
GGCGAUCGAAAAGAUUAAGCCAUGCAUGUAUAAGUUUAAUCGUUUUAACGAGAAACCGCGAACGGCUCAUUACAAUGGCCAUGAUUUACUUGAUCUUGAUUAUCUAAAUGGAUAACUGUGGAAAAGCUAGAGCUAAUACAUGCACCAGAGCUUUGUCCUCUCGGAAAAGCGCAUUUAUUAGAACAAAACCACGCGGCUUCGGCUGCUUCUUGUUGACUCAGAAUAACUAAGCUGACCGCAUGGCCUUGUGCCGGCGGCGUGUCUUUCAAGCGUCCACUUUAUCAACUUGACGGGAGCAUAAUCGACUCCCGUGGUGGUGACGGAUAACGGAGGAUCAGGGUUCGACUCCGGAGAAGGGGCCUGAGAAAUGGCCACUACGUCUAAGGAUGGCAGCAGGCGCGCAAAUUACCCACUCUCGGCUCGAGGAGGUAGUGACGAGAAAUAACGAGACUGUUCUCUUUGAGGCCGGUCAUCGGAAUGGGUACAAUUUAAACCCUUUAACGAGUAUCAAGCAGAGGGCAAGUCUGGUGCCAGCAGCCGCGGUAAUUCCAGCUCUGCUAAUACAUAGAAUUAUUGCUGCGGUUAAAAAGCUCGUAGUUGGAUUCGUAUCGGUACCUUGGAACCCUUCGGGUGUUUCUGGGUGUUAUCGAUUUAUCGUAAUGUUCGGUUUUGAGUCCUUAACAGGAUUUUUAACAGUCAUUGCAAGUUUACUUUGAACAAAUCAGAGUGCUUCAAACAGGCGUUUUCGCUUGAAUGAUCGUGCAUGGAAUAAUAGAAAACGAUUUCGGUUCAGUUUUAUUGGUUUUACGGACUGAGAUAAUGGUUAACAGAGACAAACGGGGGCAUUUGUAUGGCCCCGUGAGAGGUGAAAUUCUUGGACCGUGGCCGGACAAACUACAGCGAAAGCAUUUGCCAAGAAUGUCUUCAUUAAUCAAGAACGAAAGUCAGAGGUUCGAAGGCGAUCAGAUACCGCCCUAGUUCUGACCGUAAACGAUGCCAACUAGCGAUCCGCUGAUGGAAAUUAUAUUGCCUUGGUGGGGAGCUUCCCGGAAACGAAAGUCUUCCGGUUCCGGGGGAAGUAUGGUUGCAAAGCUGAAACUUAAAGGAAUUGACGGAAGGGCACCACCAGGAGUGGAGCCUGCGGCUUAAUUUGACUCAACACGGGGAAACUCACCCGGCCCGGACACUGUGAGGAUUGACAGAUUGAUAGCUUUUUCAUGAUUCAGUGGAUGGUGGUGCAUGGCCGUUCUUAGUUCGUGGAGUGAUUUGUCUGGUUUAUUCCGAUAACGAGCGAGACUCUAACCUACUAAAUAGUUGGUACAUACUCUUUGUGUAUACAGCUUCUUAGAGGGAUUUGCGGCGUUCAGCCGAAAGAAAUUGAGCAAUAACAGGUCUGUGAUGCCCUUAGAUGUCCGGGGCUGCACGCGCGCUACACUGGCAAAAUCAACGUGCUUGUCCUACCCUGAAAGGGGCGGGUAAACCAUUGAAAAUUUGCCGUGAUUGGGAUCGGAAAUUGCAAUUAUUUUCCGUGAACGAGGAAUUCCAAGUAAGUGCGAGUCAUCAGCUCGCGUUGAUUACGUCCCUGCCCUUUGUACACACCGCCCGUCGCUGCCCGGGACUGAGCCAUUUCGAGAAAUUUGGGGACCGUUGAUUUAAUUUAUCUAAAUUAUUUUGAUGGAAACCAAUUUAAUCGCAGUGGCUUGAACC